AACGAACGCUGGCGGCAUGCCUAACACAUGCAAGUCGAACGAGACCUUCGGGUCUAGUGGCGCACGGGUGAGUAACGCGUGGGAAUCUGCCCUUGGGUUCGGAAUAACAGUUGGAAACGACUGCUAAUACCGGAUGAUGACGUAAGUCCAAAGAUUUAUCGCACAAGGAUGAGCCCGCGUAGGAUUAGCUAGUUGGUGAGGUAAAGGCUCACCAAGGCGACGAUCCUUAGCUGGUCUGAGAGGAUGAUCAGCCACACUGGGACUGAGACACGGCCCAGACUCCUACGGGAGGCAGCAGUGGGGAAUAUUGGACAAUGGGCGAAAGCCUGAUCCAGCAAUGCCGCGUGAGUGAUGAAGGCCUUAGGGUUGUAAAGCUCUUUUACCCGGGAUGAUAAUGACAGUACCGGGAGAAUAAGCUCCGGCUAACUCCGUG
RNAcentral lists this ribosomal RNA (433 nucleotides) under uncultured bacterium. Its description in RNAcentral is "partial 16S ribosomal RNA". It matches the Rfam family "Bacterial small subunit ribosomal RNA", at positions 29 to 507 of the family's 1533-position model. The record is from RNAcentral.